CAAUGCAUGUGAUAAUGAAUUGGAUAGGCAUAAGGCGAGAUGGAGCUACGUACGCGAGAAAUUUAGUACCAAUCGAAGCACACUAAGGCCAACCGGAAACCCUAGGAUGGAAUUACUAGUAAAGAAAACAACACAAUGGAUUAAGCAGAACAACUACGUUAUAACCAGAGAGGCAAAACUAAGCGAAUGGUGCUGCUCGAGAGAAAUAAGUACGACAACUUCCUACUAGACUAUAUAAAGACAACCCAACCUGAGCCCAUGGAUAAAGAUCCGACCUGGCAACUGAAAGCUGCCGUAGACAGACUCACAGCUCACAAAUUAUUUCCAAAGGUCUGGAAGCACGGUAAGGUGCAAGCACCAUCAUGCCCUAGAUUGUUUUCAUACGUUAAAAUGCACAAACAACCACCUGCACCUCG
RNAcentral lists this long non-coding RNA (416 nucleotides) under Androctonus crassicauda. The record is from RNAcentral. Lineage: Eukaryota; Metazoa; Arthropoda; Arachnida; Scorpiones; Buthidae.